Mustela lutreola (European mink) is the source of this 1272-nucleotide long non-coding RNA. RefSeq lists it as uncharacterized. Lineage: Eukaryota; Metazoa; Chordata; Mammalia; Carnivora; Mustelidae. The transcript is spliced from 3 exons. The record is from RefSeq and is a predicted model, not a curated record.
CUCGUUCCGCAGAGAAGACGCAGUUUGGUGGGAGACAUGACAGUGUGAAAGAUACCAUCCUGGAGAUACAGAGCUGGGAGAGUGAUAAUGCAGAAGGAAGAGAAGUAAUUCCAGCGGGGGAACGCUGGGCGACUUCAAAGGAGCAGCAGCAGAUACUGUUAAGAAAAACACAAAAGGGUAUGUCAGACCCAGAACAGGCUUCUGAGCAGAGAUCAGCUUCUCCACUUCUCGGACAGCUUUCACUGUUGGGGAGAGGUCACGGCAGGUGUUUUACAGAACAAAGGAUCCAUAAAUUCCCUGGCCCCUCCUCUGUCAGGAAGUGGCAUAAAGAGCUCCGAGAAUAUGUCAUCCCCGAGACUGGAUGCCCCCGAAGAGCGGCCACCCCUGCUGACCACACAGGCUUUGCAGCCAUAACCUGGGAAGCUCACGGUCAAGUCGCAGAGUCCAGCCGGAGAGAGGAAGCUGCUCUGAGACAGUCGACAACAAAAUCUGCUUUUCCUACAUCAAGUGCCUUUACGUGUUCUCUUUCCCUCGGUUUGACACUUACUCACUGUUAACUGAAUAAGAUGCUUGGCAAAGCCUCAAAAUGCUUAAGUGGUUAAUAAGAUGGUUCACUUUAACUUAUAUUUAAGUCAAAACGUAAAAUGUAGACCUUUUGACACAGAAAUUCUACUUAAGGGAACUUAUUCUCCAAGAGGAUAAUUGUAAAAGUUUACCAAGAGGAUUAGAAAACAAGGUUCAGUGCAGACUGUUUGUUUGUAAAAGUAACAAAUGACAACCCAAAUGUAAUGAAUGGAAAAUUAAAGUAUGGUUCAGCCACACACAAAAAUUGCUAUGUAGCCAUGAAGCCAAUAAAUCAGAGACUUUUCCGGCACCGAGAAUACCCAUGACAUACGAGUGAAUCAAAAUAAUCAGGUUACAAAGCACCAGUAGAGAACAAUCCUAUUUAUACAAAUUAUUUUUAUGAAGGUACAGAGGAAUAUAUGAAAGAUGUCAAAGCGCUUAUCUUCUGGUGAGUAAAAUUUGGGGUGAUUUUUAACAUCACAUAUAUAGACUAAAUUUUAAAAGAGCCUAUUUUUAUAAUCACAGAAAAACAACAUGAUCUCUCAUACAUUCCCCACGCCCAGAUGCUCUGUCCUACCUAUUUAUUAGGGCACACUAAAUUUCUCUAAAAAACUCGUUUUGCAUUUAAAAUAAACACCUGAAAGCCAUCCUUCUAGCUUCGAUUUUGGGCAACUAAAAUUUUAAACAUCUAAACGGUAGAAAGCAUUU